Podarcis lilfordi (Lilford's wall lizard) is the source of this 75-nucleotide non-coding RNA. The record is from the annotation of a GenBank genome assembly. NCBI's taxonomy places the organism in Eukaryota, Metazoa, Chordata, Lepidosauria, Squamata, Lacertidae.
UCACUUAAGCUCAGUUGGUAGAGCAUGAGACUCUUCACCUCAGGGUGGUGGAUUCAAGCCCUACAUUGGGCAAAA